Molecule: ribosomal RNA, 490 nt
Filed under: uncultured bacterium
Lineage: Bacteria
Description: partial 16S ribosomal RNA
Rfam family: Bacterial small subunit ribosomal RNA
Source: RNAcentral
AUUGAACGCUGGCGGCAGGCCUAACACAUGCAAGUCGAACGGUAACAGGGAUCCGCUUGCUUAUUCGCUGACGAGUGGCGGACGGGUGAGUAAUGUCUGGGAAACUGCCUGAUGGAGGGGGAUAACUACUGGAAACGGUAGCUAAUACCGCAUAACGUCGCAAGACCAAAGAGGGGGACCUUCUGGCCUCUUGCCAUCGGCUGUGCCCAGAUGGGAUUAGCUAGUAGGUGGGGUAACGGCUCACCUAGGCGACGAUCCCUAGCUGGUCUGAGAGGAUGACCAGCCACACUGGAACUGAGACACGGUCCAGACUCCUAAGGGAGGCAGCAGUGGGGAAUAUUGCACAAUGGGGGAAAGCCUGAUGCAGCCAUGCCGCGUGUAUGAAGAAGGCCUUCGGGUUGUAAAGUACUUUCAGCGGGGAGGAAGGGAGUAAAGUUAAUACCUUUGCUAAUUGACGUUACCCGAAGAAGAAGCACCGGCUAACUCCGUG